CAAGGCCUUGCUAUUCACACACACACACACACACACACACAUGCACACACUUGCUCUCGAGCACAGUCUUCAUGCUCUCAUGCCUGAGUUCUAUUCUCCUGUCACUUACCAUAGAAAGGGCAUCAUGAGUGUUAUGAUCCAUUCCUCAAGACACCUGUCUGGGAUGUGUCCUCUUUUCUUCCUGCUUAAAAGGAAUAGUGCAGAUGACAACUACAAAAAUAGACUCUCAUGGUUAAAAAGAGUCUAAAUGUUGGUGUCUAUAAACACAAUAUGUAAAUGGAUUAAGUUUUCCUUUCAAAACACCUGACCUUUUGCUUUAAAUGCAAUGUUAACUAGCUUUGAAUCCAAAAUAUUUGCAUCUUGCAAUUUCUGUCUACAGUCUCUGAAACAGCUGAUGGAGAACAUUCCUCAUUCAAGAUGGUAAAAGAUAGGGUGGAGAGUGCUGAUACCUCACUCAAAGACAGGAAGUGGAAGAGAACAAAGGGGAAUCAAUGGAUUGCCUAGAACGCUAUGAGAGAGAUCUCUUUUCAUCUAUUCUGAUGGCUCCAGGGUAGGAUCCAGGGAAAGAAGAAUGGCACAUUGUGGACUACAGAGCACCCCUCCCCCAAGAAUAGCUCUUCUUUGAAUUAUGAUCUCAGAAUGGUUGUUUAUAAUUAGAAAUGUUACCAGGACACACUGGUUCCUACCAUCCUGCUGUACUUGCCUGCUAGUAUUAACAGCCACACCAGGAUUCAAAAGGCUGCUACACAUUGCAUUGGCUUUUCCCUAUCUGAGAUUGCUGAGCAUUUACUGAAGGUUUACUACAUGCCAGCCAGGGGGAUAAAGUCCUCUAGAAAGGUGAUUCAAAUAAUCCUCCUGAGAGCUCUCCAACAGCUUUGCCAAGGCAUGUGCAGUUUCACUCUUCAGGAAAGCCAGUACUCCUGGGAACAACAGGAUCAUCCCUCAAAGCAGAUGGUAAUUACUGGGUCAAGGCUCCAGGCUCCCUGUCUGGGAUGGGUCUGUGAAGUUCCUCAGAGGUUCCUGGCUGGGGUUGAAUUCCAAAUGCCCAUGCAAUAUUUGCUCACUAGCACACACAUCAUAGGUUUUUCUCCCUGUUCUGUUUUAUUUUCCUUGCUCUCCCCAACUCACUGGGAUCCCCUCUAAAUAGAUAACCUGCCCCUAAGUCCUUAUCUCAGGGCCUGUCGUCAGGGACACCAAAAUUAAGCAUGUACACAGUAAUUGAUAACCUAGAAUAUAUGACAUUAAAUCAGAAGCAUAGAAUCAAAGUUGCUUAAAAUAAGAAAUUGACCUUUCUGAAGAAGAUGACAUUACUCUGGUCCCUGACCAUCAGUGCAAGAAAGUUUUUUUAUGGCAGGACUUUGAAGGAUUGGUAGGAUUUUCAUAGUGGAAUAGAGAGGAG
Molecule: long non-coding RNA, 1399 nt
Filed under: Vulpes vulpes (red fox)
Lineage: Eukaryota; Metazoa; Chordata; Mammalia; Carnivora; Canidae
Description: lncRNA (ENSVVUG00000012121.1)
Source: RNAcentral